Transfer RNA from Candidatus Nanosalinarum sp. J07AB56, 74 nucleotides. It matches the Rfam family "tRNA". From Rfam's summary of the family: Transfer RNA (tRNA) molecules are approximately 80 nucleotides in length. The record is from Rfam. Lineage: Archaea; Methanobacteriati; Methanobacteriota; Candidatus Nanohaloarchaea.
GGGUUCGUGGUCUAGCUGGUUAUGACGUCGCCCUUACAAGGCGAAGAUCCCCGGUUCGAACCCGGGCGAACCCA